UACGUAGGGGGCAAGCGUUGUUCGGAAUUACUGGGCGUAAAGGGCGCGUAGGCGGCACAGCAAGUCGGAAGUGAAAGCCCGGGGCUCAACCCCGGAAUGUCUUUCGAAACUGCUGAGCUAGAGUGCAGAAGAGGCAACUGGAAUUCCCAGUGUAGCGGUGAAAUUCGUAGAUAUUCGCAAGAACACCAGUGGCGAAGGCGGCUCACUGGCCCGUAACUGACGCUGAGGCACGAAAGCGUGGGGAGCAAACAGG
Molecule: ribosomal RNA, 253 nt
Filed under: uncultured bacterium
Lineage: Bacteria
Description: partial 16S ribosomal RNA
Rfam family: Bacterial small subunit ribosomal RNA
Source: RNAcentral